RNAcentral lists this ribosomal RNA (450 nucleotides) under uncultured bacterium. Its description in RNAcentral is "partial 16S ribosomal RNA". It matches the Rfam family "Bacterial small subunit ribosomal RNA", at positions 338 to 795 of the family's 1533-position model. The record is from RNAcentral.
CCUACGGGUGGCAGCAGUAAGGAAUAUUGGACAAUGCCCGCAAGGGUGAUCCAGCCAUGCCGCGUGCAGGAAGACGGCCCUAUGGUUUGUAAACUGCUUUUGAACAAGAGAAAACCCCCUUACGUGUAAGGGGCUGAUAGUAUUGUUAGAAUAAGCAUCGGCUAACUUCGUGCCAGCAGCCGCGGUAAGACGAAGGCUGCAGGCGUUAUCCGGAUUAAUGGGGUUUAAGGGGAGUUGAGAAGUCAUGGGUGAAAUCUUCUCGCUUAACGAGAAAACUGCCAUUGAUACUGUCAAGCUUGAGUACAGUUGCCGUUGGCGGAAUAUGACAUGUAGUGGUGAAAUACAUAGAGAUGUCAUAGAACACCGAUUGCGAAGGCAGCUAACGAAACUGUAACUGACGCUGAGGCUCGAAAGUGCGGGGAUCAAACAGGAUUAGAUACCCCUGUAGUC